GCCAGCUGAUCACUCGUCCCCAGGCGGAGCGCGGCUGAGGAAAGCUAGCGUGGACAGCAUAGAGAAAUGAGGUAACAGAAGGGAGACCACUUCAAAACAAAGGCAACAACUCAGGGAUCCAAGAUUAACACAUCCUCCGAUCUGUGACGAGCGAAUUCAGGAUUUGCACAGGUGAAACUGAAAAGUCAAACUGGAAAUUUACAGUCUACCCGUCUAGAGAAGCAGGCUAAAAGGAAAUCAU
Molecule: long non-coding RNA, 241 nt
Organism: Acipenser ruthenus (sterlet)
Lineage: Eukaryota; Metazoa; Chordata; Actinopteri; Acipenseriformes; Acipenseridae
Exons: 3
Source: RefSeq, a predicted model, not a curated record